AGUGAACGCUGGCGGUAGGCCUAACACAUGCAAGUCGAACGGCAGCACAGGAGAGCUUGCUCUCUGGGUGGCGAGUGGCGGACGGGUGAGGAAUACAUCGGAAUCUACUCUGUCGUGGGGGAUAACGUAGGGAAACUUACGCUAAUACCGCACACGACCUACGGGUGAAAGCAGGGGACCUUCGGGCCUUGCGCGAUUGACUUAGCCGAUGUCGGAUUAGCUAGUUGGCGGGGUAAAGGCCCACCAAGGCGACGAUCCGUGGCUGGUCUGAGAGGAUGAUCAGCAACACUGGAACUGAGACACGGUCCAGACUCCUACGGGAGGCAGCAGUGGGGAAUAUUGGACAAUGGGCGCAAGCCUGAUCCAGCCAUACCGCAUGGGUGAAGAAGGCCUUCGGGUUGUAAAGCCCUCUUGUUGGGAAAGAAAUCCAGCUGGCUAAUACCCGGUUGGGAUGACGGUACCCAAGAAUAAGCACCGGCUAACUUCGUGCCAGCCGCCGCGGUAA
RNAcentral lists this ribosomal RNA (505 nucleotides) under uncultured bacterium. Its description in RNAcentral is "partial 16S ribosomal RNA". It matches the Rfam family "Bacterial small subunit ribosomal RNA", at positions 29 to 523 of the family's 1533-position model. The record is from RNAcentral.